RNAcentral lists this ribosomal RNA (253 nucleotides) under uncultured bacterium. RNAcentral's name for it is "partial 16S ribosomal RNA". It matches the Rfam family "Bacterial small subunit ribosomal RNA", at positions 524 to 776 of the family's 1533-position model. The record is from RNAcentral.
UACGAAGGGGGCUAGCGUUGCUCGGAAUCACUGGGCGUAAAGCGCACGUAGGCGGAUCGUUAAGUCAGGGGUGAAAUCCUGGAGCUCAACUCCAGAACUGCCUUUGAUACUGGCGACCUUGAGUUCGGGAGAGGUGAGUGGAACUGCGAGUGUAGAGGUGAAAUUCGUAGAUAUUCGGAGGAACACCAGUGGCGAAGGCGGCUUACUGGUCCAUUACUGGCGCUGAGGUGCGAAAGCGUGGGGAGCAAACAGG